UACGUAGGACCCAAGCGUUAUCCGGAGUGACUGGGUGUAAAGAGUUGCGUAGGCGGCUUAUUAAGCGAGUAGUGAAAUCAUGCGGCUCAACCGUUAUGACUAUUACUCGAACUGGUAGGCUUGAGAAUGGUAGAGGUAGUUGGAAUUUCGUGUGUAGGAGUGAAAUCCGUAGAUAUACGAAGGAACACCAAUGGCGUAGGCAGACUACUGGACCAUUUCUGACGCUAAGGCACGAAAGCGUGGGGAGCGAACCGG
RNAcentral lists this ribosomal RNA (255 nucleotides) under uncultured bacterium. RNAcentral's name for it is "partial 16S ribosomal RNA". It matches the Rfam family "Bacterial small subunit ribosomal RNA", at positions 524 to 776 of the family's 1533-position model. The record is from RNAcentral.